This is a long non-coding RNA of Haliotis rubra (blacklip abalone), 151 nucleotides long. RefSeq lists it as uncharacterized. The record is from RefSeq and is a predicted model, not a curated record. Lineage: Eukaryota; Metazoa; Mollusca; Gastropoda; Lepetellida; Haliotidae. The transcript is spliced from 3 exons.
CCUCGACCAGGCUAUGCACGACGGGUAACCUCGACCAGGCUAUACACGACAGGUAACAUCAACCAGGCUAUACACGACAGGUAACCUCGACCAGGCUAUACAGGGCAGGUAACCUCGACCAGGCUAUACACGACAGGUAACCUCAACCAGG